CACCCUGCAUCUGAUCCCUGGCUUAGGAAUCAGAUCCGCAGUUUCAAACCAACCCCAGAUACUUCAGAGAUAAUGACAGAUCCUUAACCUGCUGUGCCACAGUGGGAACUCCUAUCCAUCUUGUUUCUGAUGCAUUUCAAAGCAACUUGCAGACAAUUAUACUUCACCACUUAGCACUACAGCACUCAUAUGAUACAGCACUCAUAAAUUUUUAUGGCAAAAUUUACUUACAAUGAAAUCACAAAUUUACUAUAUCGUAUGUUUGCUAUAUAAAAUAACAUUUAUUUAUAUAAUCUACAAAAAUAUGUAUUAUUAUGUCCUGAUAUUUAAAAGUUCAUAGCAUGUUAUGUUCAUGUUCCCCCAAAAUUAGUUAUGUUGAAGUUCUAUCCGCCAAUGGAGCGGUAUCUGGAGAUGGGUUCUUUGGGAAGUCAUUAAGGUUAGAUUAGAUUAGGGCAUGAGGACAGAGCCCUCAUGAUAGGAUUAGUGGCCUUACAAGAAGAGGAAGAGAUCUCUCACCUCUCCCCUCUCCCCACAUACGCCCACUGGGGAAAGGCCAUUUGAAGAUAAACUCAGAAGUCUGCAACUCCAGAAGAGUCUUCACCAGAAACUGAAUUGGCCAGCACCUUAAUCCUGGACUUCAUAGCCUCUAGGAGUGUGAGAAAAUAAACUUCUGUUUAAGUCACCAAUCUACGGCAUUUUGUUAUGGCAGCCUGAGCACACUAAGACAUAGAGUUAUUAGGAAGCCACAGAAAGGGCUUUAAUACAUACUUUCUUCAAGAUCACAUUGACUGAGUGUGGAGGAAGGGAUGAACAAGGACAAGAAUAGAUUCAGGAAGACUGGAUAAGAGGCUAAGACAGUAGAUUGGGCCAGAAGUGAUCUCAGCUUGCCUAGAACCAUAACAGUAGAGGCGGAAAAUAGUAAGUGCAAGAAACACUUAGUGGGUAAGACAGACAGAAUUUGUUGAUGAAGAAAGGAUAGAAACCAAGCAUAAAUCUCAGAUUUCUUACUUGAGCAAUUGCUGGCUGUUGGUAUGACCAGCUACUGAGGUAGGGAACACAGAGGAGAAGUGGGCUUUAUUUUUGGAGGGUGGGGUAGGGGAAGUUGAGUUUAGUUUUAGACAUACUCAACUUGAGAUGCCUAUGAGAUUCAGUAGACAUUUGAAAAGUACAUCUGGAGCUUUGAGGACUGGGCUGGGCUGGAGAUAAACAUUGAGUUCCAGCCAUAAAAAAGAACAAACUAAUGCCAUUUGCAGCAACAUGGAUGGAACUAGAGACUCUCAUACUAAGUAAGUCAGAGAAAGACAAAUACCAUAUGAUUAUCACGUACAUCUGGAAUCUAAUAUAAGGCACAAAUGAACUUUUCCACAGAAAAGAAAAUCAUGGACUUGGAGAAAAGACUUGUGGUUGCCAAGUCUGCCAAAUUCCUGACAAGGGGAGGAGGGAGCGGGAUGGACUGGGAAUUUGGGGUUAAUAGAUGCAAACUACUGCCUUUGGAAUGGAUAAGCAAUGAGAUCCUGCUGUAUAGCCUGGAAACUAUAUCUAGUCACUUAUGAUGGAGCAUGAUAAUGUGAGAAAGAAGAAUGUAUAUAUGUAUGUGUGACUGGGUCACCUUGCUGUACAGUAGAAAAUUGACAGAAUACUGUAAACCAUCUAUAAUGGGAAAAAAAUCAUUAAAAAUAAAUAAAUAAAUAAAUAAAGGAGUUAGAGCAGCAAGUGUCAGCUGAGACUGAAAAGAAGUAGUAACAGAGGUAAAGAGUACCAGAAGCCUAGAUAAGUUAAAUAAGCUAAAUGUUUAAUCGCAUUUGGUGAAGACAAUGAAUCUCUUCACCACAAAGAUGGUUUCACACCAUCAGAACAUCCGAAACCAGUGGGCCACAGACCAGUGGUUUUCAUUGCGUGGUCCUCAGAACAGCAGCAUCCACAUCACCUGGGCACUUGUUAGCAAUGAAAACUGGGCAGCCUCACCUCAUACCAACUGAGUCAGAAUCCUGGGGUUGGGCGUGGCAAUCUGUGUUUUAACAAGCCUCUGGGUGAUUCUGAUGCUUACUAAAGUCUGAGAAUUGCUGCUCUAGGCAGUGCUAAAAGAGCACCUGAUAACAAUUGCUUAAGAAACCAAUCCCCUUUGCAUAAACACGUUUUCCUUUGGAUCUCUUAAUACGUUUCACCAAAUUGCUAGAGCCUGAGCAGCAACAUUCUGUGUCCACCCCACGUUUAUUGUAACACAGAUCCCAUCUGGUCCUCUGACUACCUACCACUUCUCCCUCCACUGGGUAUAUCUUUUUUGCUCACUCCUAACAUGUAAUUAUUUAUGAUGUUUGCUCCUUCAUCGCUUCUCUCUGUGCAUUUUUUCAAUUUCUGAUCCUGCUACCAACUGAACAAAUCUCUAAAUCUCACGGUUUAAAUUUGUGAGCGACAUAGAUUGUUGGUGAAACCGCACUGGUACAACUUGGGGGAGUCAUUUGGCAUCAUUUAUUGAAACAACAGAAACAUCGCCUUUGACCCAGUAAUUAGACUUCCAAGAAUUGAUUCUACAGAGGUACCUGCACAUGUGUACAAAGAAGUGAAGCCUCUCUCCCCACACUCGGCCAGAGGCCAGCUCAACCACUCUCAGUCGGUGGCAAGGCCACCCUUUACGCCGCCAGUCCGAGGCCAGGUCCUACCCGGAGGGCCUCUCUCCCGGGGUCUCAGUUCACACCUCACUUCCCACUUCAGUCAGCAGCUGGGGAAGUUCUCACAGCCUCACCGUUCCGCGCGACCGCCCCCAACACCGGGCCAAGCCGGCUGCGACUUGAUUUUCUCUCUCUCUCUCCCUCUUUUUUUCUCCUGAGUAACGAAGGACGAGGGCCACCGCCAAGCCCCGUGACCGCGGCUCCGA
This 2875-nucleotide long non-coding RNA is filed under the name Sus scrofa (pig). RNAcentral's name for it is "lncRNA (ENSSSCG00000048936.1)". The record is from RNAcentral. Lineage: Eukaryota; Metazoa; Chordata; Mammalia; Artiodactyla; Suidae.